UUAAUACUCCCUCUGUCCAAAAACGCUUGUCCCUCAAAUGAAUGUAUCUAGCACCAAGUUAGUGCUCGAUACGUCCAUUUGAAAGACAAGCUUGUGACAAGCUUUUUCGGACGGAGGGAGUAUGAC
This is a non-coding RNA of Triticum aestivum (bread wheat), 126 nucleotides long. The record is from Rfam. Lineage: Eukaryota; Viridiplantae; Streptophyta; Magnoliopsida; Poales; Poaceae.